This 72-nucleotide transfer RNA is filed under the name Marmota monax (woodchuck). RNAcentral's name for it is "tRNA.Ala". Lineage: Eukaryota; Metazoa; Chordata; Mammalia; Rodentia; Sciuridae. The record is from RNAcentral.
GUGGGUUGUAGCUCAGUGGUAGAGCACUUGCCUAGCAUGUGUGAGGCACUGGGUUUGAUUCUCAAUACCACA